UCCCAGGUGGCUCAGUGGUAAAGAAGCCACCUGCCUGUGAAGCAGGAGACACAGGUUCAAUCCCUGGGUUGGGAA
Non-coding RNA from Bubalus bubalis (water buffalo), 75 nucleotides. Lineage: Eukaryota; Metazoa; Chordata; Mammalia; Artiodactyla; Bovidae. The record is from the annotation of a RefSeq genome assembly.